AAGCAACCCUUGCUGUACAGCAAUAGUUCGAUGUUCUGUUACAGUUGUGUCUUAAUAUCAAAGACCCUGGCAGCUCUGAUAGCACAGUAUUGCUCCAGUAGAAAGAAAGUUUAUUACUAAUGCAGCUUCAACAUAUUAAAUUCACUAGUAUAAAGGAGAUGGAGGAAAAGACCAACAUUUAACACUGCAUGUUAAAGUUUAGGAACUGGUUACAGUAGAUUUGAAUGCAAAAAUACUAAAUCCAUGGGGGAUUAAAGUGAGCUAGUGUAGAUGGCACAUAUGAAGUAAACCAGAUUUUAAAGUUAACACUGAAGAGUAUAUCAGUUACAUUAGAAAGUAAGCUCUGCCAUUAUCACAAAGCAUCUUAAUCGAAUCCCCUCUCCCCGGAUGAGACUAAGAGGGGUCUGGAAAGCAGGCUAAAACCCACCGUUAAUGCCAAGGCAGGAAAAAAAUCAGGGUUCAAAUUCACAGGAUGCAUUGCAACAUUAUGAAAUCCAUCUAGGCUAUCUUGCUAUAUUUAUUCAAUGUUUCACUGCCUCCCCAAUUAAUAAGACCAACUAAUGGCAGGUAUGAAAAAAAAGAGCAAUUUUUUUUUUUAGUUUAAAGGUUUAUUCAGACAAACUGGGAAGUGGUAGUUGGUAUUUAUGUAACUGUCCCCAGCAGCUAUGGUGGUCUAGCUGCAGAAGUGCUUGGGAUGCUGCUGCACAGAACAGGACAGUUGUUUAUCUUGUAUAGUCUGUCGCAGCCAGCUAAA
Non-coding RNA from Chelonoidis abingdonii (Abingdon island giant tortoise), 754 nucleotides. Lineage: Eukaryota; Metazoa; Chordata; Testudines; Testudinidae. The record is from RefSeq and is a predicted model, not a curated record.